RNAcentral lists this transfer RNA (84 nucleotides) under Parasteatoda tepidariorum (common house spider). RNAcentral describes it as "transfer RNA leucine (anticodon UAA)". It matches the Rfam family "tRNA". From Rfam's summary of the family: Transfer RNA (tRNA) molecules are approximately 80 nucleotides in length. Their secondary structure includes four short double-helical elements and three loops (D, anti-codon, and T loops). Further hydrogen bonds mediate the characteristic L-shaped molecular structure. tRNAs have two regions of fundamental functional importance: the anti-codon, which is responsible for specific mRNA codon recognition, and the 3' end, to which the tRNAs corresponding amino acid is attached (by aminoacyl-tRNA synthetases). tRNAs cope with the degeneracy of the genetic code in two manners: having more than one tRNA (with a specific anti-codon) for a particular amino acid; and 'wobble' base-pairing, i.e. permitting non-standard base-pairing at the 3rd anti-codon position. The record is from RNAcentral. Lineage: Eukaryota; Metazoa; Arthropoda; Arachnida; Araneae; Theridiidae.
GUCAGGAUGGCCGAGCGGUCUAAGGCGCCAGGUUUAAGCUCUGGUUCUCGAAAGAGAGCGUGGGUUCGAACCCCACUUCUGACA